Molecule: long non-coding RNA, 834 nt
Organism: Acanthopagrus latus (yellowfin seabream)
Lineage: Eukaryota; Metazoa; Chordata; Actinopteri; Spariformes; Sparidae
Exons: 2
Source: RefSeq, a predicted model, not a curated record
AAGGCUAAACUGUCACAUUUAACACCGGCUGACCAGGUUAACAAGGUCUCUGAAGGACUCGCCUUCACAGACCACACAGACCACAAAGACCGAGUCCUUCUAAGACAGAAACUCUGGUCUGUUCAGGCCCUGUUGUGUUUUAUUGGCUGCUCCACGUCAGUCUAGUGAGGAAACUGUGUUUAUUCUUGAACCCCCUGAAACCUGAAGACCUUCAGUCUGACAUUUCAUUCAACUUGCAGCGUGUCAACCACACAGGGACCUGCCGCACAUCAUGCCAGUGUGGCUGUGCAGGAGGUGCAUGUCCUGACUGAGGAGGAGGAGGAUGAAGAGGGACGGGUGGAUGAUCCAGUAGAGUCUCAGCAUCGUGUGGAUCUUUUGGUUGUAGAAGGAAAACACACUUUCCCCUCGGCUAACUCGUCACACUGAUACUGUGUCACCGACAGAUCGACAGGUCAUGAAGGUUUUCCAGCAGAAUACGUUCGUACAAGGCAGAAUAUCUCCUUCAGUGCACAAAGAAGAGGUGAAAUAUACAAAUUACUGAAGAAAUAACGUGAACGUAGAGCUCACUGAAGCUGCAAAACAACAAACAUCCAGGUGAAAUACUGACCCUGCCUUCCAUUACCCAGAAUUCCACACUGAUAAGUACGACAGAAGGAGAUUUAGUCUGUCUCAAUGCAAAGUGUCUGAAAUGCAGUAUCCCAAAAAUAUCAGAUGUCACACAACAUCUUUUUGCAGCAUGAAAGCCAGUGUGCUUUUCUGGCUAUGAGGACCCACAAUCCUUUGCAGCGGAUUACACAUCAGAUACUUCAGAGCGUCACACACAUGAAUAAAGCU